AAGGUUAUAAAAAUAGAGCUGCUAACUCUAUAUUAAUGAAAACAUUUAGCCUUU
RNAcentral lists this transfer RNA (54 nucleotides) under Alectorobius atacamensis. Its description in RNAcentral is "tRNA-Ser". Lineage: Eukaryota; Metazoa; Arthropoda; Arachnida; Ixodida; Argasidae. The record is from RNAcentral.